AACCCUCGUGUCCCUUUCCCAGUUUGGGGACAGUCCCUGGUGUCCCUUUCCCAGUUUGGGGACAGUCCCUGGUGUCCCUUUCCCAGUUUGGGGACACCCCCAGGUCCCUUUCCCAGUUUGGGGACAGACCCUGGUGUCCUUUUCCCAGUCUGGGGACAGACCCUCGUGUCCCUUUUCCAGUUUGGGGACAGUCCCUGGUGUCCCUUCCCCAGUUUGGGGACAGACCCUCGUGUCCCUUUUCCAGUUUGGGGACAGUCCCUGGUGUCCCUUUCCCAGUUUGGGGACAGACCCUGGUGUCCCUUUCCCAGUUUGGGGACAGUCCCUGGUGUCCCUUUCCCACUUUGGGGCCAAACCCUGGUGUCCCUUCCCAGUUUGGGGACACCCCCAGGUCCCUUUCCCAGUUUGGGGACAAACCCUCGUGUGUCCCUUUCCCAGUUUGGGGACAGUCCUUUGUGUCCCUUUCCCAGUUUGGGGACACCCCCAGGUCCCUUCCCCACUUUGGGGACACCCCCAGCCCCUCCCCAAUUUGGGCCAUCCCCACCCCACACCCUCCUGUCCCUUCCAGCCCCCUGCGCCGGCGGUGGCACCGCGGUGGCCGACGGCUGCGUUUGUCCCCCCGGCCGCUCCGGCCGGCGCUGCGAGACCCCCGACCCCGCCGGCGCGUGCCGGAACGGUGGCACCGCCGUGGGCACCGCCUGCUUCUGUCCCCCGGGAUUUGGGGGACCCCUGUGCCAGCACCCCGACCCCGCCGGCGCCUGCCGCAACGGUGGCACCGCCUUUGGGACACGCUGCGUGUGCCCGGCCGGCUUCGGCGGGGACACCUGCCAGCUCCCCGAGGAGGUGGCGUGGUGCCUCAACGGUGGCACUUUGGAGAAGGGGACGUGCCGGUGUCCCCCCACGGCUUGGGGACCUCGGUGCGAGUGCGGUGGGACGGGACCGAGCACGGCGGUGGGGAAGGCGUUGUACGUCGGUGACACCGCGGGGACGAACGACACGGUGACGGUGACGGUGACGGCGGCGGGGGGUGGCACCGAGGAGAGCGGCACGGACGCGCCACCGGCGAGGAGGGAGAGGAAUGUCACGGGAAGAACUGAGGAGGGAAAUGCCACCACGGUGGGAAGUGUCACCAGGGCCACCAUCGUGGGAAGUGUCACCGGGGCCACCAUGGUGGGAAAUGUCACCAGGGCCACCACCAGUGGCAGCGUCAUGGGAAGGAACGGCACGGUCACCGCGGUGGUCAGCGCCAACACGGACCAUGACAUGGUCACCAGCACUGACCAUGAUGUGGUCACCACCACAGAGAGGGACAUGAUGGUCAGUGCCAACACGGACCAUGAUGUGGUCACCAGCUCGGACCAUGAUGUGGUCACCACCACGGAGAGGGACAUGAUGGUCAGUGCCAACACGGACCAUGAUGUGGCCACCAGCACUGACCAUGACGUGGUCACCAGCACUGACCAUGACGUGGUCACCAGCACUGACCAUGACGUGGUCACCACCAUGGACCAUGACGUGGUCACCAGCACAGAGAGGGCCACCAGGGUCAGGGGCAGUGUCCCCAUGGCCACCACCACAGGGGACAACACCACGACGGUGCCACCAGAGCGGCGGGUGAGAAACGUCACGGGCUGGUCCGUGAGGAGCCACAGCGGGGCCACCACCCUGGAGGGUGAGACCGCAGCCGUGGACGGUGACACCGCGGUCACUCCCUCAGACCUCGCGGAGGGAGAGACCACGGCCAUGGAGGGUGAGAACGAG
This is a long non-coding RNA of Parus major (Great Tit), 1758 nucleotides long. Lineage: Eukaryota; Metazoa; Chordata; Aves; Passeriformes; Paridae. The record is from Ensembl.